Molecule: long non-coding RNA, 540 nt
Organism: Cynocephalus volans (Philippine flying lemur)
Lineage: Eukaryota; Metazoa; Chordata; Mammalia; Dermoptera; Cynocephalidae
Exons: 2
Source: RefSeq, a predicted model, not a curated record
GGUGUGGGAGGAGGACACACACUCAGUCUGAAGCUGGCCAUGACCUCCUUCCCUUCCAAUCCUCCCUGGCCACUGCUGGGGACUGCCAUUUGUGCCCUGCGGGAGCCCAAGGGAAAGUGCGGUCCCUGAGGACCCCAGCUGGCUGGUCUGGAAAUGUCUGGGCCUGCAGCCUGCACAGGGCCUGGAGAGGAAGUCACCGGCGCUGGGUUUUCUUUGUCAGCGUGUGCCCCACGCACGUUUUUCUGUGCUGCAGUGGAAAUCGGAGCUGCCAUGGCCUUGCCGUCCUUCUAGGGAGCAGCAUGCAGUGGGGCAGUGCGGGGAGCUCCACCCGAGAUGCAGACUCCAGACGCAGGGCUGCACCCUCAUAAGAAGAGGAAGCGACAUCAGAACUCUCUCUCCACCACGUGAGGACACAGUGAGACAGGGGCCAUCCACAGGCUGAGAAGAAAAUCCUGAACCAGAAACAAACCCUGCUGGCACCUUGGUCCUGGACUUCCAGCCUCCUGAACUGUGAGAAAUAAAUUUCUGUUGUUCAAGCCA